Molecule: non-coding RNA, 807 nt
Organism: Heterocephalus glaber (naked mole-rat)
Lineage: Eukaryota; Metazoa; Chordata; Mammalia; Rodentia; Bathyergidae
Source: RefSeq, a predicted model, not a curated record
UGCGCAUGUGUUUGGGCAUUUUAUCACGCCUCCUUUCUCAGCUCAGGACAGCCAUGCCGUGUGUUCCUUCCUCACGUUUACUUUCACAGCUAGGCCAGAGAGUGGAGAUUUCACUACGCAUGGGUCCAGGUUGGAGCUCUCGAUGUGUUUAUUCUGCUACCGCAGCGGCACAGCGCUUAGAGAGGCCCCAGCAGCGGUAGUGAGACUGGUCCACCAGGAACGCGGAGCAUUCUGGGGCCCAAGCGUGUAUUUUCGGACAAAGAGAAAGGUAGAAGCAUGACUUUAAGUGAAAAAUAUAUGGAAUUGCUAUCCAGGCAGAAGUGGGAUUUCAUGAAGUGGCCCCAGACCUAAAAAACACUGUGCCGGUGACUGGCAGCUGUAGCCUGCUCUGCAGAGCCGGGAGGGCAGAGUUCUGCUGUGGACCGGGAUAGAGCCUAUUUCUGUCAGGUAACAAAGGCUGUCUCCAGGUGUGCAGGAAGAUUUCAGAGCUCCCACAAGGUUUUAGAGGAAAACAGUGUUGACCAAGAAGUUUCUCGGAGGCAGAGUUGAAAUGCAGAGACAUGGGAUGUGAGGGUGAUCCUCGAGACCCAGUGUGGAUGCAAGGUCUUUGAAAAUCAUUCAUAUACAUAGCAAAUGCCCUGUAACUGGAGCAGCCCAUUCAUCAAUCCUUGGCUAAGUGAUGUGAAAUCCUGUGUUCUCAGCCUGUCUCGGCAAAAGGGCAAACAGAACUCAGACCCCUGACUGGUCUUCAUUUGCAAGGACCGUACACCCAGUCAUACACCAUACACCAUGAGCAGCUCUCAUUCC